Long non-coding RNA from Ochotona princeps (American pika), 259 nucleotides. RefSeq lists it as uncharacterized. NCBI's taxonomy places the organism in Eukaryota, Metazoa, Chordata, Mammalia, Lagomorpha, Ochotonidae. The transcript has 3 exons. The record is from RefSeq and is a predicted model, not a curated record.
GCUCGCCUCUGCGUCCAGGGCCUUAGUUAGACAGUGGCCGUGACCUUCAGAGAGAGGGAGACUGGCCUUUGCCACUCGGGUUUUGGCGGGAGCAGAGCAGGGCUGUGUUGCCACCAGCUUUGGCAGCCCAUUCCCACGCAGGACCUUGGCCCCUGACAGCUUAUUCCUAUCCUGAACAGCUGAAGCUGACGUUUCCUGCGGAGCCUGGACAAGGCAGUCAAAGUGAUGCCCGUUUACUUGUGUUUCCCGUCAAGCCAAA